UACGUAGGUGGCAAGCGUUGUUCGGAAUUAUUGGGCGUAAAGGGCGCGUAGGCGGUUUGUUAAGUCGGAUGUGAAAGCCCUGGGCUUAACCUAGGAAGUGCAUUCGAAACUGUUGGGCUUGAGUUCUGGAGAGGAAGGCGGAAUUCUCGGUGUAGAGGUGAAAUUCGUAGAUAUCGAGAGGAACACCGGUGGCGAAGGCGGCCUUCUGGACAGUGACUGACGCUGAGACGCGAAAGCGUGGGGAGCAAACAGG
This 253-nucleotide ribosomal RNA is filed under the name uncultured bacterium. RNAcentral's name for it is "partial 16S ribosomal RNA". It matches the Rfam family "Bacterial small subunit ribosomal RNA", at positions 524 to 776 of the family's 1533-position model. The record is from RNAcentral.